RNAcentral lists this ribosomal RNA (421 nucleotides) under uncultured prokaryote. Its description in RNAcentral is "bacterial SSU rRNA". It matches the Rfam family "Bacterial small subunit ribosomal RNA", at positions 355 to 793 of the family's 1533-position model. The record is from RNAcentral.
UGGGGAAUAUUGUACAAUGCGGGAAACCGUGAUCCAGCAAUGCCGCGUGAGUGAUGAAGGCCUUAGGGUUGUAAAGCUCUUUUACCAGGGAUGAUAAUGACAGUACCUGGAGAAUAAGCUCCGGCUAACUCCGUGCCAGCAGCCGCGGUAAUACGGAGGAUGCAAGCGUUAUCCGGAAUCAUUGGGCGUAAAGCGUCCGCAGGUGGUUCAUCAAGUCUGCUGUUAAAGACAGAAGCUCAACUUCUGAAAGGCAGUGGAAACUGGAGAACUAGAGUACGGUAGGGGUCGAGGGAAUUCCCAGUGUAGCGGUGAAAUGCGUAGAGAUUGGGAAGAACACCAGUGGCGAAGGCGCUCGACUGGGCCGUAACUGACACUCAGGGACGAAAGCUAGGGUAGCGAAAGGGAUUAGAUACCCCCGUAG